Molecule: ribosomal RNA, 3134 nt
Filed under: Pseudomonas syringae ICMP 19498
Lineage: Bacteria; Pseudomonadati; Pseudomonadota; Gammaproteobacteria; Pseudomonadales; Pseudomonadaceae
Description: bacterial LSU rRNA
Rfam family: Bacterial large subunit ribosomal RNA
Source: RNAcentral
GUUAUAUGGUCAAGUGAAGAAGCGCAUACGGUGGAUGCCUUGGCAGUCAGAGGCGAUGAAAGACGUGGUAGCCUGCGAAAAGCUUCGGGGAGUCGGCAAACAGACUGUGAUCCGGAGAUGUCUGAAUGGGGGAACCCAGCCAUCAUAAGAUGGUUAUCUUGUACUGAAUACAUAGGUGCAAGAGGCGAACCAGGGGAACUGAAACAUCUAAGUACCCUGAGGAAAAGAAAUCAACCGAGAUUCCCUUAGUAGUGGCGAGCGAACGGGGACCAGCCCUUAAGUUGUAUUGAGAUUAGCGGAACGUUCUGGAAAGGACGGCCAUAGUGGGUGAUAGCCCUGUACGCGAAAAUUCCUUUGCAAUGAAAUCGAGUAGGACGGGGCACGAGAAACCUUGUCUGAAUAUGGGGGGACCAUCCUCCAAGGCUAAAUACUACUGACUGACCGAUAGUGAACCAGUACCGUGAGGGAAAGGCGAAAAGAACCGCGGAGAGCGGAGUGAAAUAGAUCCUGAAACCGUAUGCGUACAAGCAGUGGGAGCCCACUUUGUUGGGUGACUGCGUACCUUUUGUAUAAUGGGUCAGCGACUUAUUUUCAGUGGCGAGCUUAACCGAAUAGGGGAGGCGUAGCGAAAGCGAGUCUUAAUAGGGCGUCUAGUCGCUGGGAAUAGACCCGAAACCGGGCGAUCUAUCCAUGGGCAGGUUGAAGGUUGGGUAACACUAACUGGAGGACCGAACCGACUACCGUUGAAAAGUUAGCGGAUGACCUGUGGAUCGGAGUGAAAGGCUAAUCAAGCUCGGAGAUAGCUGGUUCUCCUCGAAAGCUAUUUAGGUAGCGCCUCAUGUAUCACUGUAGGGGGUAGAGCAUCUCGGAGAUAGCUGGUUCUCCUCGAAAGCUAUUUAGGUAGCGCCUCAUGUAUCACUGUAGGGGGUAGAGCACUGUUUCGGCUAGGGGGUCAUCCCGACUUACCAAACCGAUGCAAACUCCGAAUACCUACAAGUGCCGAGCAUGGGAGACACACGGCGGGUGCUAACGUCCGUCGUGAAAAGGGAAACAACCCAGACCGUCAGCUAAGGUCCCAAAGUCAUGGUUAAGUGGGAAACGAUGUGGGAAGGCUUAGACAGCUAGGAGGUUGGCUUAGAAGCAGCCACCCUUUAAAGAAAGCGUAAUAGCUCACUAGUCGAGUCGGCCUGCGCGGAAGAUGUAACGGGGCUCAAACCAUGCACCGAAGCUACGGGUAUCAUCUUUUGAUGAUGCGGUAGAGGAGCGUUCUGUAAGCCUGUGAAGGUGAGUUGAGAAGCUUGCUGGAGGUAUCAGAAGUGCGAAUGCUGACAUGAGUAACGACAAUGGGUGUGAAAAACACCCACGCCGAAAGACCAAGGUUUCCUGCGCAACGUUAAUCGACGCAGGGUUAGUCGGUCCCUAAGGCGAGGCUGAAAAGCGUAGUCGAUGGAAAACAGGUUAAUAUUCCUGUACUUCUGGUUAUUGCGAUGGAGGGACGGAGAAGGCUAGGCCAGCCUGGCGUUGGUUGUCCAGGUUUAAGGUGGUAGGCUGAGAUCUUAGGUAAAUCCGGGAUCUUAAGGCCGAGAGCUGAUGACGAGUGUUCUUUAGAACACGAAGUGGUUGAUGCCAUGCUUCCAAGAAAAGCUUCUAAGCUUCAGGUAACCAGGAACCGUACCCCAAACCGACACAGGUGGUUGGGUAGAGAAUACCAAGGCGCUUGAGAGAACUCGGGUGAAGGAACUAGGCAAAAUGGCACCGUAACUUCGGGAGAAGGUGCGCCGGUGAGGGUGAAGCAUUUACUGCGUAAGCCCACGCCGGUCGAAGAUACCAGGCCGCUGCGACUGUUUAUUAAAAACACAGCACUCUGCAAACACGAAAGUGGACGUAUAGGGUGUGACGCCUGCCCGGUGCCGGAAGGUUAAUUGAUGGGGUUAGCGCAAGCGAAGCUCUUGAUCGAAGCCCCGGUAAACGGCGGCCGUAACUAUAACGGUCCUAAGGUAGCGAAAUUCCUUGUCGGGUAAGUUCCGACCUGCACGAAUGGCGUAACGAUGGCGGCGCUGUCUCCACCCGAGACUCAGUGAAAUUGAAAUCGCUGUGAAGAUGCAGUGUAUCCGCGGCUAGACGGAAAGACCCCGUGAACCUUUACUAUAGCUUUGCACUGGACUUUGAAUUUGCUUGUGUAGGAUAGGUGGGAGGCUUUGAAGCGUGGACGCCAGUCUGCGUGGAGCCAACCUUGAAAUACCACCCUGGCAACUUUGAGGUUCUAACUCAGGUCCGUUAUCCGGAUCGAGGACAGUGUAUGGUGGGUAGUUUGACUGGGGCGGUCUCCUCCUAAAGAGUAACGGAGGAGUACGAAGGUGCGCUCAGACCGGUCGGAAAUCGGUCGUAGAGUAUAAAGGCAAAAGCGCGCUUGACUGCGAGACAGACACGUCGAGCAGGUACGAAAGUAGGUCUUAGUGAUCCGGUGGUUCUGUAUGGAAGGGCCAUCGCUCAACGGAUAAAAGGUACUCCGGGGAUAACAGGCUGAUACCGCCCAAGAGUUCAUAUCGACGGCGGUGUUUGGCACCUCGAUGUCGGCUCAUCACAUCCUGGGGCUGAAGCCGGUCCCAAGGGUAUGGCUGUUCGCCAUUUAAAGUGGUACGCGAGCUGGGUUUAGAACGUCGUGAGACAGUUCGGUCCCUAUCUGCCGUGGACGUUUGAGAUUUGAGAGGGGCUGCUCCUAGUACGAGAGGACCGGAGUGGACGAACCUCUGGUGUUCCGGUUGUCACGCCAGUUUGAGAGGGGCUGCUCCUAGUACGAGAGGACCGGAGUGGACGAACCUCUGGUGUUCCGGUUGUCACGCCAGUGGCAUUGCCGGGUAGCUAUGUUCGGAAAAGAUAACCGCUGAAAGCAUCUAAGCGGGAAACUUGCCUCAAGAUGAGAUCUCACUGGAACCUUGAGUUCCCUAAAGGGCCGUCGAAGACUACGACGUUGGGAAACUUGCCUCAAGAUGAGAUCUCACUGGAACCUUGAGUUCCCUAAAGGGCCGUCGAAGACUACGACGUUGAUAGGUUGGGUGUGUAAGCGCUGUGAGGCGUUGAGCUAACCAAUACUAAUUGCCCGUGAGGCUUGACCAUAUAACACCCAAGCAAUU